Molecule: ribosomal RNA, 338 nt
Filed under: Candida albicans
Lineage: Eukaryota; Fungi; Ascomycota; Pichiomycetes; Serinales; Debaryomycetaceae
Description: eukaryotic LSU rRNA
Rfam family: 5.8S ribosomal RNA (bases 1-125)
Source: RNAcentral
GCAUCGAUGAAGAACGCAGCGAAAUGCGAUACGUAAUAUGAAUUGCAGAUAUUCGUGAAUCAUCGAAUCUUUGAACGCACAUUGCGCCCUCUGGUAUUCCGGAGGGCAUGCCUGUUUGAGCGUCGUUUCUCCCUCAAACCGCUGGGUUUGGUGUUGAGCAAUACGACUUGGGUUUGCUUGAAAGACGGUAGUGGUAAGGCGGGAUCGCUUUGACAAUGGCUUAGGUCUAACCAAAAACAUUGCUUGCGGCGGUAACGUCUACCACGUAUAUCUUCAAACUUUGACCUCAAAUCAGGUAGGACUACCCGCUGAACUUAAGCAUAUCAAUAAGCGGAGGA